Molecule: ribosomal RNA, 193 nt
Filed under: uncultured bacterium
Lineage: Bacteria
Description: partial 16S ribosomal RNA
Rfam family: Bacterial small subunit ribosomal RNA
Source: RNAcentral
GCAACUCGACUGCACGAAGUCGGAAUUGCUAGUAAUCGCGGAUCAGCAUGCCGCGGUGAAUACGUUCCCGGGCCUUGUACACACCGCCCGUCACACCAUGAGAGUCGGGAACACCCGAAGUCGGUAGUCUAACCUCGUGAGGACGCCGCCGAAGGUGGGCUUGAUAAUUGGGGUGAAGUCGUAACAAGGUAUC